CUACGGGACGCUCCAACUGGGAAUCUUGCGCAAUGGGCGAAAGCCUGACGCAGCGACACCGCGUGGAGGAUGAAGGCCUUCGGGUUGUAAACUCCUUUUAUAUGGGAAUAAGAUCCGAUGUUGCGUCGGAUUUGAAGGUACCAUACGAAUAAGCACCUGCUAACUACGUGCCAGAAGCCUCGGUAAUACGUAGGGUGCAAGCGUUAUCCGGAAUUAUUGGGCGUAAAGCGUAUCGUAGGCGGCUUGAUAAGUGCAUGGUGAAAUCUUUCGGCUCAACCGAAAAAUUGCUGUGCAUACUAUCUCGCUAGAGAUCGCUAGAGGAUGCUGGAAUUCUCGGUGGAGGGGUGAAAUCCGUUGAUAUCGAGAAGAACACCAAGGGCGAAGGCAAGCAUCUGGAGCGUUUCUGACGCUGAUGAACGAAAGCUAGGGUAGCAAAAGGGAUUAGAUACCCCCGUAGUC
This 459-nucleotide ribosomal RNA is filed under the name uncultured bacterium. Its description in RNAcentral is "partial 16S ribosomal RNA". It matches the Rfam family "Bacterial small subunit ribosomal RNA", at positions 339 to 795 of the family's 1533-position model. The record is from RNAcentral.